This 300-nucleotide RNase P RNA is filed under the name Olsenella sp. DNF00959. RNAcentral describes it as "RNA component of RNase P". It matches the Rfam family "Bacterial RNase P class A", at positions 43 to 349 of the family's 367-position model. Rfam says of the family: Ribonuclease P (RNase P) is a ubiquitous endoribonuclease, found in archaea, bacteria and eukarya as well as chloroplasts and mitochondria. Lineage: Bacteria; Bacillati; Actinomycetota; Coriobacteriia; Coriobacteriales; Atopobiaceae. The record is from RNAcentral.
GAGGAAAGUCCGGGCUCCACAGGGCAGGAAGCAGGCUAACGGCCUGGCGGGGUGACCCGACGGAAAGCGCCGCAGAAAAGAAGACUCCCGCUGCCCGCCUCGGCGGGUGAGAGAAAAGCUGAAACGGUGGUGUAAGAGACCACCAGCGUCGUGGCAACAUGGCGGCUUGGCAAGCCCCUUCCGGAGCAAACGCAAAUAGGAGCGCCAUGGUGUGGCCCGCACCGCGCUCGGGUUGCGCGCUAGAGGCCGUCGGUGACGGCGGUCGUAGAUAAAUGAUUGUCCACGACAGAACCCGGCUCA